GAGCUCUGCAGAAUUCUCCGUCAUGACAAUGCAGAGACAAAGAGAAACAAACAUCAACGCCAGAAGUACAAUUUGUUAUCUCCCCCCGAUACACAAAUGUACAAAUAUGUACACCGUCUGUGAAGG
RNAcentral lists this small RNA (126 nucleotides) under Spisula solidissima (Atlantic surf clam). Lineage: Eukaryota; Metazoa; Mollusca; Bivalvia; Venerida; Mactridae. The record is from RNAcentral.